UGGGGAAUUUUCCGCAAUGGGCGAAAGCCUGACAGAGCAAUGCCGCGUGGAGGUGGAAGGCCUACGGGUUGUCAACUUCUUUUCUCAGAGAAGAAACAAUGACAGUAUCUGAGGAAUAAGCAUCGUCUAACUCUGUGCCAG
This 141-nucleotide ribosomal RNA is filed under the name uncultured bacterium. RNAcentral's name for it is "partial 16S rRNA". It matches the Rfam family "Bacterial small subunit ribosomal RNA", at positions 355 to 511 of the family's 1533-position model. The record is from RNAcentral.